GUAGUUUCCACAGUAGCACGGUACAUCUGUUCCUGUGUGUCCGCAGGGCUCUGGAAUCAUCUUCUAUGUGACCUUGGGACGGCACAGAUCAUGCAUCUGGGUGCAAUGGGUGCCCCGAGAAUGCCCCGCGGAUCGGCGACGGUGGAGAGCCGGGCGUGGUGCCAGCCUAGGGCCAAGCCUCCCGGGACCUCAGCAGAUGGAUGAUCUCACCAUGAUCUCACCUUGGAGGGGGAGCAGAAAGAACCAGAAUAAGGAGAAGAUUGUGAGCCCCGGUGACAGGAAGGCCCAGAGCUCCCUGGGAGUGCUGGACUCUGUGACUCAGGGAUGCACACACUGUGUGUGUGACCUUUGACCUGUGAACUGGUCUGAGGCAAAGCAGUCUGCGGCAGUGGCCUUCAUGUGCUACACUAUGCAGCACAUCUAUGGAGAUUGCACCUCCAGUGAAAGCCCAGCUCCCCACCCCACCCCCGCCACCAUGGACUUGUAUGUGUGAAUGGGGGUGAGCAGGGAGCAGAGGCAGGGCACACAGCUGGUAUUCAUUGCCUUAGUUACACAGCUACUACAACCAUCUGCAGAGACUUCUCUUGUAUGCGAUGGCAACUCUUCUGGAAAAACUGAUUGCCCUGGUUGUAGAAGAGGCGAUGAUCCCAAGCAAUAAAAUCACCAUAG
RNAcentral lists this long non-coding RNA (669 nucleotides) under Canis lupus familiaris (dog). RNAcentral's name for it is "lncRNA (ENSCAFG00000053225.1, ENSCAFG00845002421.1)". Lineage: Eukaryota; Metazoa; Chordata; Mammalia; Carnivora; Canidae. The record is from RNAcentral.